This 495-nucleotide ribosomal RNA is filed under the name uncultured bacterium. RNAcentral describes it as "bacterial SSU rRNA". It matches the Rfam family "Bacterial small subunit ribosomal RNA", at positions 903 to 1397 of the family's 1533-position model. The record is from RNAcentral.
AAAGGAAUAGACGGGGGCCCGCACAAGCGGAGGAACAUGUGGUUUAAUUCGAUGAUACGCGAGGAACCUUACCCGGGUUUGAAAUGUAGAGGAAUAAUGUGGAAACAUGUUAGCCAGCAAUGGUCUCUAUGUAGGUGCUGCAUGGUUGUCGUCAGCUCGUGCCGUGAGGUGUCGGCUUAAGUGCCAUAACGAGCGCAACCCUUGUCGUUAGUUGCUAACAGUUUAAGCUGAGGACUCUAACGAGACUGCCACCGCAAGGUGCGAGGAAGGUGGGGAUGACGUCAAAUCAGCACGGCCCUUACGUCCGGGGCGACACACGUGUUACAAUGGGGGGUACAGCGGGUUGCUACCUGGCGACAGGAUGCUAAUCUCACAAAACCUCUCUCAGUUCGGAUUGGAGUCUGCAACUCGACUCUAUGAAGCUGGAUUCGCUAGUAAUCGCGCAUCAGCCACGGCGCGGUGAAUACGUUCCCGGGCCUUGUACACACCGCCCGU